This 28-nucleotide small RNA is filed under the name Bombyx mori (domestic silkworm). Its description in RNAcentral is "ovarian small RNA-38419". Lineage: Eukaryota; Metazoa; Arthropoda; Insecta; Lepidoptera; Bombycidae. The record is from RNAcentral.
UUUGGUGUACGGUACUUCCUUGUCGACC